Molecule: ribosomal RNA, 253 nt
Filed under: uncultured bacterium
Lineage: Bacteria
Description: partial 16S ribosomal RNA
Rfam family: Bacterial small subunit ribosomal RNA
Source: RNAcentral
UACGUAGGGUGCGAGCGUUAUUCGGAAUCACUGGGCGUAAAGCGUGCGUAGGCUGUCUCGAAAGUUGGGAGUGAAAUCCCGGGGCUCAACCCCGGAACUGCUCUCAAAACUUCGAGACUCGAAUUCGAGAGAGGAUAGCGGAAUUUCCAGUGUAGUAGUGAAAUACGUAGAUAUUGGAAGGAACACCAGUGGCGUAGGCGGCUAUCUGGCUCGAUAUUGACGCUGAGGCACGAAAGCGUGGGGAUCAAACAGG